UGCUCCCAUGGGAUCACCACCAGGCUGGGACGAUUCCCAGCCGGGAGCUCCUGGGGCCGCUCCCUUCUCAAACCCACCCACGCAGCACCCUGUGGCCACGAGCUUUGCGGCUGAAUUUGGCUCUAGGUGAGAAGCAUUUCCACGCUCUCGCUUUCAACCUCCUGCUCGCUAAUUAGGGGACAGGUGGGGAAAUCAGCACAGCACAGCACAGCUCACCUCUGUCUCCCCCCCUCCCGGUGUAUUUUCUGCCCGAACAAAUGGCAGUGGGAAUGCAGCCCAGCUGCAGGGUAUUUCCACCCUGGUAAUUCACAGCAGUUGUGGUUAGGCGCUGUAGUUUGCAUAUAGCGGGGAUAGUUCAAUAGCCAACGGUUGGUACCUUCUAGAAGGCCAUGAGAAAUGUCGUGUCACGUCCCGCGCGGGGAUUAUUUUCAUUAGGGGCUCAGCCAGCAGAUGCCAGCCCCAGAGGUUACCUUUCCAUCACCUGAGAGCAGCUGUAUGGGGAAAAAGUUGCCUUCCUGACAGAGCUCUUCCUCCCUGAGCAUCAUCCGGAGAGGGGGAGCUGGAAGGCGUUGUGGCUGGAUGCUGCUUUGGGUUUUGUCUUAGGAAGAUUUUUCCUGAUUUAAUGAAUGAGCUGCAUUCCUCAGCUGCUGUGCUUGAUUCCGUGCUGUCUGACUGCUUGUUGCUAAAUCGGCGUGGCGAGAGAAGGGAAAAGCUGAGCAGGAAAUAAAGCAGUGAACAACUCAAGAUGCCUCCGGAGAGAAGGUCUGUAAGAGAAGAGGAAACGGUACCAAAGGGGAACUGUCUCACUGGCCUCACCCUUACUUUUGAGGAAGAACGCCUCUGCUCAGCCUCUUUAGCUGCUUGAAGUAGGCUCCUCGGAGUGAAGCAGCUCCCGUGGUCUGACUGGGAUUUAAUGCCCCCGCUGCACUUUGCUGGAAGGACUCGUUAGCCUGCGUUACGGGGCUCAGCAAGGGAACAGAGCCUGCUGAGCUCCUUAGGGUGCCACUCAUCAGCUGUGGUCACUGCUGCAGAGGGCUCUGAGCCUGGCCACAGCGACUUGCCGAGAAGUUCGCCUCUCGAGCUUCUCCUUCCCCUGGGCCAUUCUCUGCUGCUGCAUCCCAGGAGCAUCUUACACCACCUGCAGUGAGAGCUUCGGCCUCGCUGCUUCCAUGCUUUUUGUGUCAGACUGGUCGAGAUCGAGUCUGGCUGAGUGGUCUUGCCUGCAGCAGUUCUGUUGGGAGCUUCCUACAAGCCCCAGGUGCUUGUGUCCUCCCAGCUCGGGGCGGUGGCAGCGGCUGUUUCCGAACUGGAGGCCAGAAGUUUCCUUAAAAUCUUACCACGUGCCACCAUGACUGCAGUGAAGAUGAUGACGAGGUCCAGGGAUGUUAUUAGCAGUUUUAUUAGUAUUUUCCCUCAGGAAAGGGAAAAGUUAAGUGAUGGAAAUGACAUCCCCAGAGCAGCGCAGAUGCCAGCUCUCAGAUGGCUUUUUUCCCCUGUAAAAGCAAAGAGGGAAGGCAGCGAGGAGGCAGUUGCUCUGGGAGGAAAGCGUAGCUGCUUUCAGCCCUACCCUGAGAGGCAUUUGGUAGCAGCCACAGCAAAUCCAGGUUCAGACAGAUGAACGAAAAGAAAACCGUGUAACAAAAGACCUUUCUGUCUCCCCCUGAUUUCUCUUUCCGUGCCUUUAUCUGUCUCACUCAGUUGGUGCCCGUGUUUUUCCCCCUCAGACAGAACUUUCCUCUAACUGCUCAUCCGCUUUAAAUAUUAAUUCCUCUUAACUUUCUUUAAAGACUUCCGUGUAGAGGAUCUUCUUUUGGUUUGACCUCUUUGCUAACCUCAUGUAUUCCUUUAUUUUCUCCCCCUCCUGCCCUUUUGGUCUUUUUCUCCCUGCCGUUAAAUCCCUUUCUCUUUCCCUUUCCGUCUUGCUUGGGUUAAAACUGGAGCACAGAUUGUGUUCGCUGCGCAGGUGAGCUGUCAGCCCCACACCGCAGGAAGCAGGGAACGUGUCGUCGCUUCUUGCAGACCCAAAUGAGCACCAGAGGAAUUACAAAAUUAAAAAAAUAAAUCUUUCAGUCUUCCA
Anas platyrhynchos (mallard) is the source of this 2077-nucleotide non-coding RNA. The record is from RefSeq and is a predicted model, not a curated record. NCBI's taxonomy places the organism in Eukaryota, Metazoa, Chordata, Aves, Anseriformes, Anatidae.